GGAUUUAAUAAGUUUAGCAUUUAAUUUGGAUUAUUUUUAUUAUGCUUAAAGUUGUAAUAAGGCCGCCCUUUUUAAUUAAUUUUAUUUUGGGGAUUAUUAAACUGGUUAGCACUAGGGUCCAUUUUAUAAAAACUACUUGUUUUUAAAAGAUCACGAUGACUCGCAAAGUUUCCGCAAAGUAAAUGUUUUUCCAAGAAAAUAAAUAUUUUAAGC
This 213-nucleotide long non-coding RNA is filed under the name Gossypium barbadense (sea-island cotton). Its description in RNAcentral is "long non-coding RNA (GBAR_LNC001509)". The record is from RNAcentral. Lineage: Eukaryota; Viridiplantae; Streptophyta; Magnoliopsida; Malvales; Malvaceae.